RNAcentral lists this ribosomal RNA (253 nucleotides) under uncultured bacterium. RNAcentral describes it as "partial 16S ribosomal RNA". It matches the Rfam family "Bacterial small subunit ribosomal RNA", at positions 524 to 776 of the family's 1533-position model. RNAcentral also lists the same sequence under 1 other name. The record is from RNAcentral.
UACGUAGGGUGCGAGCGUUGUCCGGAAUUAUUGGGCGUAAAGGGCUCGUAGGCGGUUUGUCACGUCGGGAGUGAAAACUCGGGGCUUAACCCCGAGCCUGCUUCCGAUACGGGCAGACUAGAGGUAUGCAGGGGAGAACGGAAUUCCUGGUGUAGCGGUGAAAUGCGCAGAUAUCAGGAGGAACACCGGUGGCGAAGGCGGUUCUCUGGGCAUUACCUGACGCUGAGGAGCGAAAGUGUGGGGAGCGAACAGG